Molecule: ribosomal RNA, 829 nt
Filed under: uncultured Alphaproteobacteria bacterium
Lineage: Bacteria; Pseudomonadati; Pseudomonadota; Alphaproteobacteria
Description: bacterial SSU rRNA
Rfam family: Bacterial small subunit ribosomal RNA
Source: RNAcentral
CAAGUCGAACGCCCCGCAAGGGGAGUGGCGCACGGGUGAGUAAUGCAUGGGAAUGUACCCUUCGGUACGGAAUAGCCUCGGGAAACUGGGAUUAAUACCGUAUAACGUCUACGGACCAAAGAUUUAUCGCCGAGGGAUCAGCCCAUGUAGGAUUAGCUAGUUGGUGGGGUAAUGGCCUACCAAGGCGACGAUCCUUAGCUGGUCUGAGAGGAUGAUCAGCCACACUGGAACUGAGACACGGUCCAGACUCCUACGGGAGGCAGCAGUAAGGAAUAUUGGACAAUGGGGGAAACCCUGAUCCAGCCAUGCCGCGUGAAUGAAGAAGGCCUUAGGGUUGUAAAGUUCUUUUAGGGAUGACGAUAAUGACGGUAGUCCCAGAAAAAGCUCCGGCUAACUCCGUGCCAGCAGCCGCGGUAAUACGGAGGGAGCGAGCGUUGUUCGGAAUUACUGGGCGUAAAGCGUGCGCAGGCGGAUUUCCAAGUCAGGAGUGAAAUCCCAGGGCUCAACCCUGGAAUUGCUCUUGAAACUGGAUGUCUGGAGUCUCGGAGAGGUUGGCGGAAUUCCCAGUGUAGAGGUGAAAUUCGUAGAUAUUGGGAGGAACACCAGUGGCGUAAGCGGCCAACUGGACGAGAACUGACGCUCAUGCACGAAAGUGUGGGGAUCAAACAGGAUUAGAUACCCUGGUAGUCCACACCGUAAACGAUGUUCACUAGUUGGUGGGGAGCUUGCUCUUCGCUGACGCAGCUAACGCAUUAAGUGAACCGCCUGGGGAGUACGGUCGCAAGAUUAAAACUCAAAGGAAUUGACGGGGACCCGCACAAGCGGUGGA